This 300-nucleotide signal recognition particle RNA is filed under the name Vombatus ursinus (common wombat). Its description in RNAcentral is "Metazoan signal recognition particle RNA (ENSVURG00010019641.1)". It matches the Rfam family "Metazoan signal recognition particle RNA". Rfam says of the family: The signal recognition particle (SRP) is a universally conserved ribonucleoprotein. It is involved in the co-translational targeting of proteins to membranes. Lineage: Eukaryota; Metazoa; Chordata; Mammalia; Diprotodontia; Vombatidae. The record is from Rfam by way of RNAcentral.
ACUAGGUAUGAUAGCACGUGCAUGUAAUUCCUGCUCCUGGAGAGUCUGAGGCUAUGGAAUUACUUGAGUUCAGGAGUUCUGAGCUGCAGUUACCUAAAACUGAUUGUCUGGCCACACUAAGCCUGGCACCAGUGUGUUGAACCCCCCAAAAUGGGAGGCCAUUGAGCUACUUAAGAAGGGGCAAACCAGUCCUGGUCAGAAAUGGAGCCGAUUAAAGUUCCAAUGGCAUUCAUUGGUGGGGUUGGGCCCAUGAGUGACAUGCAUUUCCAGCCUGGACAACAUAGGGAGACCCAGUUGCAA